This is a long non-coding RNA of Chelonia mydas (Green sea turtle), 2713 nucleotides long. RefSeq lists it as uncharacterized. The record is from RefSeq and is a predicted model, not a curated record. NCBI's taxonomy places the organism in Eukaryota, Metazoa, Chordata, Testudines, Cheloniidae. The transcript is spliced from 2 exons.
CAGACUCUUGUGAGACAGAGUACUAAGCUUACUAAAAGGAGUUUGGGCUGGAAGUGAAAGUGUUUCUGGUUCAGUCCUGAUGGUACUUCUCUGCGAGGGUCCAAGUGGCUGGAGCUCUGUGGACUCUAGAAUGAAGGAAGGUGAUAGGGGUCGGAGAAGGAGUACUCGUGUCUUCUGCAUUGGCCUCUGCUCUCAAGCAUCUACGCAGAAAGCAGGAUGGGAAGUAACAGAACUCAGUAUUGGCUGCCUCUGGGUCCCCGCCAUCACCACUCUGUCCAGUUGUGGGGGACCCAGCAAAAGGCAGAGCAGCUGCCAGAAUGGCAGGAAGGCCACCAGAGCAGCAGAUGAGCCUAAAAGAUGGCUCCUGACUCAGUGCAGAAUGUGUGUUUUUUUCCCCCAUGGAUCUUUGAAAUGAGGUUGGGCCCAAGCCAUAGUUCCAUAACCUCUUUCCACAGUGCAAGAAGAAUCUCGGCUGUUCUCCUCAUUCUCACCUCUCCAGUGAUCUUUAUUCACAGAGGGAGCCAAAUCAGGCAAAAUUCAGUUUGUGCAUGAGUGUUAGAAACUCAGCUGGCUCCAAGUGCGCCCACCUACCAGCCCAAUGAGCUUGGCUGGGCUCAAUAAACUCUCACUGUGUGAUUGUGCUCCCUGACUGGACCCAGCUGCUCCCCAUUUAGGCUUGGUAGCAACAGCAGCACACUGGCUGCUCAGUGUGUUCUGUGCCUGCUGCUACACAAGACCUGCUUCCUGUAUUGCCCAUUGUUCCAAGCUCCUGUAUCAGCCCUAGUCCCAACCUUCCUCAGAACUCCUGGCUUUGACCAGUGGCUUGUCUCCUGACCAUGACUUUUUGGUUCUGCUCCAACCAUUAGGCAAGACUCCUGUUCAGGCCACUAGGUCACAUUGCCUACUGCCAGUGUCUUACAACAAGCUAUGAUGGUUGAUGGCAGGGGUGUGGUAAGCAGGAUGGGAAGUAACAGAACAGUAGAGUGCUGUUGGGAGUUGGUGAUUCUUUAAUAUUCAAGAGAGAUGGCUGAGUAGUGGGAGCAAUUUCUCCAGCAGUAAUGGCUAAUAACCUGGGAUAUCUUCACAUAAGGAAGGAAGGGAGCUUCAUCAAUACUGAAUCAUUGGACUGAGACUGGACAAACCUCUGUACAAUGUACUGUAGGGAGGCUCUUAUGCUGGCUAGAGGAGGAUGAGAUGGCCUAUGGCAAUCUUGUCCUUGAUUUUGUCCUCAUCAUCAUCCCCCUGUAACUUUUUUGCAUGUACAAAAUGAUAUAUUCCUAAGGAACAAUGGCACAUUGAUGAUGAAGGAAAUUAAAUAGCAUCUUAGGACCUCAUGGUGCAGGAUACUUCUACCACAAGAACCUCAAGUGAAGGAGCUGAUUUCUUUUUGUACUUUAGGCCAAAUUAUGUCCCUCUCCCUUUCCUUGUCUCACCUCCCAGCCCCAGCUCCUUUGUUGACAAAGCCCUGGUGGGGCAGGGAGGAGGAGGAGGAGGAAUACAGUGAUUUGGCACUAAAUGCCUCUACAACAGUUUCACGUCCCCGGUACAGGCUAUGGACUGCUGUAGCAUAUGAGGCCUGGGAGUACACCUUACAAAGGGAGUUCAAACUCCUGGUUCUGUGUUGUGGCAUAUCUCCUGGCUCACCAUGCCAUCACCUGCUGUCCCUCCAUUCUAUUCUGCUAUGGACAGAGAUAUUAGGUCUCUCAGUCAUCUCUGUGGCCAACACUUUGCUACAACAGAGCCAAAGUGGUUCCACUGUACUCCACACCUUGCAUGCCCAUAGGGACUAUGCAUUUGACCCUUAACCAUGGAAGACGGUGUUUAAUAUCUUUCAGCAUUUCCUUUGAAUGUGACUAGAGGAAAUAAAAUUGCUAAGGCAUUAGGAACUUUACAAAACCUGGCAGAGCAGCAGGGUGCAUAAUAAUAGAAAGACAAAGGAACUUAAUCGGUGAUAUACAGGAUGGGGAUGGAGGAGGGGAGGAAGCAUGAUGUAGUUAUAAUGAGAAACCGCAAGAUUGACAUGAAAAAGAUGGGACAGGCAGCAGAGUAUAAAUAGUAGCUGCAGCUUAUUUGUAACUUUCAUUUUUAGGUGGGGAUGAUUGACACAUGGAUGGGCAGGAUGAAGGUAACCUCCCUGAUCUUUAACUUGCAGGUCACAUGCAGAAAACUUUGAGAAAAUACUCCAACAUGUAGAUGUCAAAUUGAGUGACAGCCUCGUGUGAGGUGAAUUGCAUUUACUGGCUUUUUUACAUGCAUCGCUUCACAGAAAUGAUGGCUGCCAUUUGAACAAAAAGACAUCCUUCCCGACCAGGGUCAAGAAACUGACAGUGCCCACCCAUUAAUAGAAAACACUGUCAUUUAAAAUAAAAUGCUGUGUGGAAAACUUCAGAAAUCUAUUAGCCAACACAGAGGAUAGUAUCAGUUUCUGCACAUGAAUUACCGUAUACCAUUCCAGUGAUAAUGUACAGCACAGCGUGUGGUACAAUUUUCAUCUGUAACAAUAUAUAUAGAAUGCCAUAUGGCUGACAGCAUGUACUACACAUGUCAGGCUGUUCUAUUUUCUAGCUAUCUACAUUUUAUUUGCUUCUGUCUAAUUAUCUUAUUUUGCUGGAGGGGCGGGAGAGAGAGUCAGAAAAGCCCAUAAGAAAGAUCAAAGGCAACUAAUUGUGUGAAUGAUUUAAUUCAAGUUUCAAAAUAUUUUUGUAAUUUUUUU